Molecule: unclassified non-coding RNA, 330 nt
Filed under: plant metagenome
Description: partial contains 5.8S ribosomal RNA, internal transcribed spacer 2, and large subunit ribosomal RNA
Rfam family: 5.8S ribosomal RNA (bases 1-105)
Source: RNAcentral
AAAAUGCGAUAAGUAAUGUGAAUUGCAGAAUUCAGUGAAUCAUCGAAUCUUUGAACGCACAUUGCGCCCGCCAGUAUUCUGGCGGGCAUGCCUGUCUGAGCGUCAUUUCAACACUCGGGACCCCGUUCGCGGGACCCGGCGUUGGGGAUCAGCCCGAAGCCCCCCGGGGCGGGCGGCUGGCCCCGAAAUCUAGUGGCGGUCCCCCCAGCGACCUCCUCUGCGCAGUAGUAACUCACCUCGCAGCUGGACAGCGGGAGGGCCACGCCGUAAAACCCCCAACUUCUCAAAGGUUGACCUCAGAUCAGGUAGGAAUACCCGCUGAACUUAAGC